RNAcentral lists this ribosomal RNA (253 nucleotides) under uncultured bacterium. RNAcentral's name for it is "partial 16S ribosomal RNA". It matches the Rfam family "Bacterial small subunit ribosomal RNA", at positions 102 to 353 of the family's 1533-position model. The record is from RNAcentral.
ACGGGUGAGUAACGCGUGGGUAACCUGCCCUGUACAGGGGGAUAACAGUCAGAAAUGACUGCUAAUACCGCAUAAGACCACAGCACCGCAUGGUGCAGGGGUAAAAACUCCGGUGGUACAGGAUGGACCCGCGUCUGAUUAGCUGGUUGGUGAGGUAACGGCUCACCAAGGCGACGAUCAGUAGCCGGCUUGAGAGAGUGAACGGCCACAUUGGGACUGAGAUACGGCCCAGACUCCUACGGGAGGCAGCAUG